UGACAUUCUUUCCACAGUCUGUGCCUGGCAACAAGCCCAGCUGCUAGCAAAUGUAUUUUCUGUAGAUCACCCUCCACACGCAAGCCUGUGGCCUUCCUACCCAAGGACUAUGCGUGAGACAAGAAUCCCCCAGGGACCUCCACUUUGGAAGCUCCUUCAUGGCCACAUUGAUGCUGGAAAGCAGAAGUUCGGGAGGUGCCCAACAAGCCGGGGAGGAGUUAAGCGACGGUGCCAUACAGAGCUCUGUCCCAGCUGCGACGCGGACUUGGGAGUAGAAGAAAGCUGUGUCACAGGGAGGGAUCGCCCCUCUCCCCACACUGGAGAGGGAGACCGGGGUGAGCGAGGUGAAGCGGGAGGAGGACAUGCACCUGCUCGACGAUGCUGGCAUGUGGAGACCUGCAGGAGCUGGGCUCGUGGAGCCACCUGGAGAAAGCUGGACACGCAGAGCACCAGGGCCUCGGUGGCCAUAGAGGCUGACAGCUCGGGCUGAGCUCCCUGCUCCCCUACCCAGGGGAGGGGACAGGAAGGCAAAGAGCCAAGGCAGCGCGUACCACGGACAAGAUGGGUACGGAGGACUUGGUGGUCAAGGCACAAAGGUCCACACCCGGAAACUGGGGACUGCACUGGAUCACAGAUCAAGGAGGCAGAGGGCAGGGGCUGGCACACUGCCCACCAGGGCCGGCUCCCAGGAGUGACUGAGCACAGCCCCUCCUCACCUGGAGCAGCAGCUCUGCCUGCUGCGUCCGGCACCUGGACUUGGCCAGGAGCAGGACCCUGCCCACCUGUGGAGCGGCUGCAGCCCAGGGCGAGGCUGCAAGCUGCUGGCUUCACAGCAACAGGCCCUUCCACCGCAGGACACAGAACUCAAAUGUGCCGCACGUUGCUUCAGAUUCUACAACGCAUUUCCUCUACAUCUGCCUGACUUUCAUGGUGAUAAGAUCGUUUUGGCAUGAUACUCAUUUGUUUAAAUAAAAAAACGAGCCCAAAAAGUGGCAUUCAAGGAACUUUAGGCCAGACAAAUGCUUGAGGUGUCUUGUUUAAACAGUCCGGCUGAUAGGCUUUCCACACUGAGCAGGCGCCAGUCCUCACGGAGCCUUGUGCAGUGCGCUUGUUCUGGAAAGGAAGGGUCGGAGGUAGAGAAAG
This 1143-nucleotide long non-coding RNA is filed under the name Cavia porcellus (domestic guinea pig). RNAcentral's name for it is "lncRNA (ENSCPOG00000034895.1)". The record is from RNAcentral. Lineage: Eukaryota; Metazoa; Chordata; Mammalia; Rodentia; Caviidae.